UUUAAAACCCCACUCUUAUAAAUUGAAUCAUUUUAUAUUAUGUAUGUAAUAAAUAAAGAUCACUUUCAACAACGGACCUCUUGCUUCUCUCAUCGAUGAACAACGUAGCGAACUGCGAUAAGUGAUGUGAAUUGCAUACUUCGGUGCAUCA
This 151-nucleotide ribosomal RNA is filed under the name uncultured Glomus. RNAcentral's name for it is "5.8S ribosomal RNA". The stretch from base 61 to 151 matches the Rfam family "5.8S ribosomal RNA", at positions 1 to 91 of the family's 154-position model. From Rfam's summary of the family: 5.8S ribosomal RNA (5.8S rRNA) is a component of the large subunit of the eukaryotic ribosome. Lineage: Eukaryota; Fungi; Glomeromycota; Glomeromycetes; Glomerales; Glomeraceae. The record is from RNAcentral.